Molecule: transfer RNA, 75 nt
Filed under: Merluccius polli (Benguela hake)
Lineage: Eukaryota; Metazoa; Chordata; Actinopteri; Gadiformes; Merlucciidae
Description: tRNA-Leu
Source: RNAcentral
GCUUUUUCUGUAGUGUAGUGGUUAUCUCAUCGCUUUAACGCGCGAAUCGUCCCUGGUUCGAACCGGGCAGAAGCA